RNAcentral lists this unclassified non-coding RNA (203 nucleotides) under Hevea brasiliensis (rubber tree). The record is from RNAcentral. Lineage: Eukaryota; Viridiplantae; Streptophyta; Magnoliopsida; Malpighiales; Euphorbiaceae.
GAUGGUAAAGCACUAGCUGCUCAGGUUAGAAAGCAUCUCAUAAAAUGUUGCAGGCUUUGGAUUUUACCAAUACCAUAAUUAUAUCUUAUAUCUUUUGUUAGAUGCUGAAAUGUCUCUUGGCACUUUUAUUACUGCUUUUGUCCGGCUGCCUAAAAUAUCAAUCUAAUGCUUAUUUAUAUACUGCAGCUUUCAGAGCCAUCUGG